Long non-coding RNA from Mauremys reevesii (Reeves's turtle), 1569 nucleotides. RefSeq lists it as uncharacterized. The record is from RefSeq and is a predicted model, not a curated record. The transcript has 3 exons. Lineage: Eukaryota; Metazoa; Chordata; Testudines; Geoemydidae.
CCCCCGCCCCCCUCCGAAUUAGCGGGUCACAUAAAUGUCGUUAUUCGCCCCCCUUUAAAGCUGACAAGAAAAGUUCCAGUGCUCUUUGACUGGUGUCUGCUGUAUUUUGCCCUGUUUUGUUUUUAAAGUGACACUUUACAAGAAUGCUGUUCUUCUCUAUUUGGGAAUAUAUUUAUCUCGGAUUAUACGAGCCAGUUUUAAAGACUACACAAUGCAAAUGACCUCACCGCCCUAGGAGCCAGGACUGAGAUGAAACUGUUGAGCUCCCAGAAUUUUUAAGGUUGGAUUUCAAAGGAAUAUUUUGAAAGCAGUUAUGGAAACGACAUUCCCUUAUAAACUCAGGGAAUACCAUUUUCCAGGCUAAUGUCUGAAAACUCCAUUACAAAGUGCCAAGAAAAUACAUUUUUUUCGCAUCAGAAUUCAUUCUGUUUUUUUUCUUUCCAUCGCGAAGUGUUGUGCUGCAGUUACAAACUAUCUCUUAUGAUUUACACAGUGCUGGCCAACAUCUGUCCUCAGGCAAUUUACUAAACUGAUGUUGAACUUAUGGUGGUCUCUGACUUAUUGUCUGAUUGUUACAGAUACUGCUAAAACGACUGAAAUUCCCCCAGUCUUCAUCUACAAAUCCAGAAUUGGGAUAGGCUGAGUGGGGAUUGGUUUUGGAGCGAAGCGGGCUGUAGUGGCUGUGAAUAGCACAUCUGUGCAGUCGAUUGGCAGGCCAGACUGCUAAUACAUUGUGUAAUGCUUGUGUACCAACCUUCUUUGCCUUUGCAGGGUUUCCAUUAUUUCUUUGCCCCCAGCUGUUUGUUCUAAGCUGCAAGGCUGAAUCACCAGAGUAUGUAAAAGGCCUUGGCAUCAACUUAAAACAACCCUCCGGAACAGGAGGAUCACUAAGGUGGCUGGUUUAAAGGUUUUGAGGGAGCAGAAGAAAAUGGUGGGAGAAUGGAAUGCCUUCUCUACCGAGGCUAAUAAAUGUACUACUACUCCCUUUCUUCGUCCUCUGCAGCCAGCACUAUCAACCUAAAUCCACAUUCAGGCAUCUCAGACCGUGGUCUGAUUUUCUAAGAGGCCGAAGAGCCACGGCUGCUAUUAGACUUCAGUGGGAAUGCUCAGCACGACUGAAAAUCAGGCCAGGAUUAUUUUUUGAAGUUAAACAUUUUGGAAGUCCUCUGGAUGCAGCAUUUGAAAGUUCAAGAAGGCAAAAGCUAUGACACCUCUACAGACAUUUACAGUUACUUACUAAUAUUGCAAUAGCUCAAGGAUCCAGAAGCCAAGGCCAAGUUCAUGCAGCGCAAGAGGAAAAGGAGACACCUAUUGGCAAAAAGUCGCAUUCAAACCUCAAGGCUGCUUUGGGGAAACACCAGGGGGACACCGCUUCCCAAUCACUGCAGCCACUGCCAGCAGCGGCCGGUCCUCUUCCUCCGCGACACGAGCUGCCCCGGGCACGGUCCCGGCCACACACUUCCACCCUCCUCCCCAAAAUGCAAAUCCCAAGCAGGAGCAAACAACGGGGCAUGCAAAAACCCUUCUGAAAACCCCAGGUCUUUACCUUCCUCUGCCGAUUUCAUGCUG